This is a non-coding RNA of Podarcis lilfordi (Lilford's wall lizard), 74 nucleotides long. NCBI's taxonomy places the organism in Eukaryota, Metazoa, Chordata, Lepidosauria, Squamata, Lacertidae. The record is from the annotation of a GenBank genome assembly.
GGCUGGAUAAUUUAGCUGGCAAAGCAUGAGACUCUUAAUCCCAGGGUUGUGGGUUCAAGGCCCAAGUUGAGUCA